This 432-nucleotide unclassified non-coding RNA is filed under the name soil metagenome. Its description in RNAcentral is "partial contains 5.8S ribosomal RNA, internal transcribed spacer 2, and large subunit ribosomal RNA". The stretch from base 1 to 120 matches the Rfam family "5.8S ribosomal RNA", at positions 35 to 154 of the family's 154-position model. The record is from RNAcentral.
GAUGAAGAACGUAGUGAAAUGCGAUACGUAAUGUGAAUUGCAGAAUUCAGUGAAUCAUCGAAUCUUUGAACGCAUAUUGCGCUCUCUGGUAUUCCGGAGAGCAUGCUUGUUUGAGUAUCAGUAAACACCUCAACUUCCAUAUCUUUUUUGAAAUGGGAGUUGGACUUGAGUGAUCCCAACGCUUUUCCUCACCGAAAAGUGGCGGGUUACUUGAAAUGCAGGUGCAGCUGGACUUUUCUCUGAGCUAUAAGCAUAUCUAUUUAGUCUGCCUAAAAACAGAUUAUUACCUUUGCUGCAGCUAACAUAAAGGAGAUUAGUUCUUGUGCUGACUGAUGCAGGAUUCACAAAGACAGGCUUCGGCCGACUUUGUAAACUCGAUCUCAAAUCAAGUAAGACUACCCGCUGAACUUAAGCAUAUCAAUAAGCAGAGGA